RNAcentral lists this long non-coding RNA (259 nucleotides) under Homo sapiens (human). RNAcentral describes it as "non-protein coding LINC00944:24". Lineage: Eukaryota; Metazoa; Chordata; Mammalia; Primates; Hominidae. The record is from RNAcentral.
AUCCCACAGCACACAGUGAGGGAGUGGUGAAGGCAGAAUUUACAGAUCUCAAUGGCGGGAACACCUUCAUGGCCCCUUUAUAGCUGGAUGAUCAUUUCCUGUUCUCUCCACCAUGGCCACCUGGUCCAAGCCACCAUCUUCAUGCACCUGGAUACCUGCCAUAACCUCAGCUGACCUUUCCUGUGUCCAUUCUUGUUCCUUUGGGCCCAGUCUCCUCGCUCAUAGCAGCAGAAUGAGUCUAUUAAAAAGUGAAACAAUU